Molecule: ribosomal RNA, 492 nt
Filed under: uncultured bacterium
Lineage: Bacteria
Description: partial 16S ribosomal RNA
Rfam family: Bacterial small subunit ribosomal RNA
Source: RNAcentral
AGUGAACGCUGGCGGUAGGCCUAACACAUGCAAGUCGAACGGCAGCACAGUAAGAGCUUGCUCUUACGGGUGGCGAGUGGCGGACGGGUGAGGAAUACAUCGGAAUCUACUUUUUCGUGGGGGAUAACGUAGGGAAACUUACGCUAAUACCGCAUACGACCUACGGGUGAAAGCAGGGGAUCUUCGGACCUUGCGCGAUUGAAUGAGCCGAUGUCGGAUUAGCUAGUUGGCGGGGUAAAGGCCCACCAAGGCGACGAUCCGUAGCUGGUCUGAGAGGAUGAUCAGCCACACUGGAACUGAGACACGGUCCAGACUCCUACGGGAGGCAGCAGUGGGGAAUAUUGGACAAUGGGCGCAAGCCUGAUCCAGACAUACCGCGUGGGUGAAGAAGGCCUUCGGGUUGAAAAGCCCUUUUGUUGGGAAAGAAAAGCAGCAGGUUAAUACCCCGCUGUUCUGACGGUACCCAAAGAAUAAGCACCGGCUAACUUCGUG